Molecule: ribosomal RNA, 470 nt
Filed under: uncultured bacterium
Lineage: Bacteria
Description: SSU rRNA
Rfam family: Bacterial small subunit ribosomal RNA
Source: RNAcentral
AGCCUGAACGCUGGCGGCGUGGCUAAGACAUGCAAGUCGUACGGGUGUAGCAAUACACCAGUGGCGAACGGGUGAGUAAUGUAUCGCUAAUGUGCCCCGGAUUCUGGGAUAGCUAUCCGAAAGGGUAGGUAAUACCAGAUGAUAUAACUUUGCCGCAUGGCAGAGUUCUCAAAGGAGUAAUCCGCUCUGGGAGCAGGCGAUAUCGUAUCAGCUAGUUGGUGAGGUAACGGCUCACCAAGGCGACGACGCGUAGCCGGACUGAGAGGUUGGCCGGCCACAUUGGGACUGAGACACUGCCCAGACUCCUACGGGGGGCUGCAGUAACGAAUCUUCCGCAAUGCACGAAAGUGUGACGGAGCGACGCCGCGUGUGGGACGAAGCCCUUCGGGGUGUAAACCACUGUCAGGGGUUAGAAAGUUCUGAUCAACCCCAGAGGAAGGCACGGCUAACUCUGCGCCAGCAGCCGCGGU